AUAAGACUUAUAUCAUGGCAAAAAAACACUUAAAAAGCAUGAUAUAUCUCUGGAGAACAAAGUUGUAGAUCUAGUUUUUAUUUUGCGUGAGUUUCGUUUUCUUCUGGUUGAUUGUUGCAGGAACUACCAAAAUCUCAGCCUUCCAUUCAUUUACACUUUACUAAACCUAAAAAACCUUUUCAUUCGCCACUCUCUCCCUCUCUCUUCGUCCUUCUCUUUCUUCUGAACAACGCCAAAAAAUUCUCCAAAAAACCAAAAUUGGAGAGAGGGUUAUCGAGUUGGAGACAACUUGGCGAGUAAGUUUUAUCGCUCACCAUUUCCGAUUUCACCGAGGAGAAUCGCUCUGUCGAUUAAUCGCUUCACGAAUAUUGAUUUCGUAGAUUCAGCUUCAUUCGGUGCAUUCCGAUUAUUCUGUUCAAUUCAUGUCGACGAUGGCGGGUAUACAAGCAGUGCCAUGUUCUCGAGAUGGUGGAAAGAACGCUGUUUGCCAAGAGAAGUUUAUGUUCACUUUUGCUUGAAGGGCUUAGGCCUUAGGGAUCUUAAGGUUGCAGUCUGGAAUAGCAAUACACUCUCCACUAAUGACUUUACUGGGAAUACAAUGAUUUAAUUGCAGAAGGUUCUUUCUCAAGGAUACGGCAACUACACCUGGACUUUGCAGACUAAAACUGGGAGGUAUGAACAUUAGCUAUACUUUGUCUUCUUUUGCACUGAGUAUCAUGUUUGGUAAUCUAUAGUUGCAUGAUGCACAUUGAUCUAAGCUGAUUUUGGUGAUGGACUUGCUUAUUAUCAAUGAAGUUUUUGAUGUGAUUUGUACUAGAUAAUUUAUGUAUUUAAUUGGAAUUUUGUUGUUUAAUCCUGAUGUAUUUUGUUUUGGGUUCUUCUCUAGUCAUCAUCAUGAUUUUAAGAUGAUAAACUCAGGCUCAUAAAUCAUCAUCUCUCCGGUCACGUAGUGUACUGAACAACGCAGCCGGUAGCGAAGAAAUACAGGAUAUCGUCCCUACCUCUCUCUUUAUCUCUUCUUCUCUAAUUGCUUCUUUUUGUUUUGUUCACUAAUAGAGAUUUAAGAUUUUUUUCAAAUUUCUUUCAUUGCUUAGGUAAUAGUUAGUUCUCUGCUCUUGAUUCUCUUUCAAUUUUAUUUACAAAUCGUUUUGUUUCUCUUUGAUUAUAAGCUUGUGCUGGGCGAUUAACAGGCUAUUUGUAUCGUUUCAUCCCCACAGAUUUACUAAAGCUCAGAUAAAAUUCAAUCACUAAACUGGAAAAAUAUAUGCUAUUAUGAAGUUCCAUGUCCACUAUUAUGAAGAUGAGUCAACACCUACUGGAACUUGCAGUGUGUUCGUGGUCUUGGUGGAGAAAGGUCAGUUUAUGAUCUGGAAGGUAAGCCAUACAGAGAAUUGAGAAGUAAUAGUCGUGAACUCGCAAUCAGAUGGUCAGCACACUUCAACGCAAAUGGGCAGUGGUCGAUUUCCAGAAGAAGGCUUUAGCAAAGCAAGUUACUUCAGGAACAUCCAGGUGGUUGAUGAGUCAAACAACCUCAAGGCACCUAAAGGACUUGGAACAUUCACUGUACAGUCUAACUGUUAUGAUGUUCAAACCGGAAGCAUUGAUGUUUAGAACCAAGUACACCACGAACUGGGCUGCUCUAGUCACUUGUGUGUCCGACCACUGGCCAGACAGGGUGGUUGGAUUCAUUGCUCGAUACCUUUUCCAAGCUACGAUUCAUACUCUUCUGGAGAGAACGUAAUUCUCGAAAACAUGGGGAGAUUCCAAAGUCAGCAGGUACUCUAAUAUCUUGGAUCGAUAAACAAGUCCGGAAUCAGCUCCUCGCUAUCUCUGGUCUGGGGGACAGGCGCUAUGAGGAAGGUCUCCAAGUUUGGUUUGCUUCUAGACAUCUAGGCUGAAUUGAUGAUUGUACUCUUCUUUUCAGUUUUGUAAUUGUUCUUAGCUAAAAAAUUUCAAACGCUAUUUUUUCUUUGAAUUUAAUAUUUUAUUAAAAAAAAAAAAAAGGAUCAUCCACAUCUA
Molecule: non-coding RNA, 2019 nt
Organism: Camelina sativa (false flax)
Lineage: Eukaryota; Viridiplantae; Streptophyta; Magnoliopsida; Brassicales; Brassicaceae
Source: RefSeq, a predicted model, not a curated record